GCUUACGGCCAUACCACUCUGAACACGCCCGAUCUCGUCUGAUCUCGGAAGCUAAGCAGGGUCGGGCCUGGUUAGUACUUGGAUGGGAGACCGCCUGGGAAUACCAGGUGCUGUAAGCC
Molecule: ribosomal RNA, 119 nt
Organism: Sparus aurata (gilthead seabream)
Lineage: Eukaryota; Metazoa; Chordata; Actinopteri; Spariformes; Sparidae
Source: Ensembl